This 463-nucleotide ribosomal RNA is filed under the name Mogibacterium timidum. RNAcentral's name for it is "bacterial SSU rRNA". It matches the Rfam family "Bacterial small subunit ribosomal RNA", at positions 28 to 485 of the family's 1533-position model. Lineage: Bacteria; Bacillati; Bacillota; Clostridia; Peptostreptococcales; Anaerovoracaceae. The record is from RNAcentral.
GAUGAACGCGGCGGCGUGCCUAAUACAUGCAAGUCGAGCGAGAAGCUUGGAAAUGACGCUUCGGUUGAUUUUUCAAGCGGACAGCGGCGGACGGGUGAGUAACGCGUAGGCAACCUGCCCCUGACAGAGGGAUAGCCAUUGGAAACGAUGAUUAAAACCUCAUGACACCGUAGUAGCACAUGCUACAUCGGUCAAAGAUUUAUCGGUCAGGGAUGGGCCUGCGUCUGAUUAACUGGUUGGUGAGGUAACGGCUCACCAAGGUGACGAUCAGUAGCCGACCUGAGAGGGUGAUCGGCCACAUUGGAACUGAGACACGGUCCAAACUUCUACGGAAGGCAGCAGUAGGGAAUCUUGCACAAUGGGCGAAAGCCUGAUGCAGCAACGCCGCGUGAAGGAUGAAGGCCUUCGGGUUGUAAACUUCUGUUCUAAAGGGAAAGAAAAGAAAAUGAACGGUACCUUAAGG